RNAcentral lists this ribosomal RNA (449 nucleotides) under uncultured bacterium. RNAcentral's name for it is "partial 16S ribosomal RNA". It matches the Rfam family "Bacterial small subunit ribosomal RNA", at positions 29 to 523 of the family's 1533-position model. The record is from RNAcentral.
AACGAACGCUGGCGGCAUGCCUAACACAUGCAGGUCGAACGAGAUCUUCGGGUCUAGUGGCGCACGGGUGCGUAACGCGUGGGAAUCUGCCCUUUGGUUCGGAAUAACAGUUGGAAACGACUGCUAAUACCGGAUGAUGACGAAAGUCCAAAGAUUUAUCGCCAGAGGAUGAGCCCGCGUAGGAUUAGCUAGUUGGUGUGGUAAAGGCGCACCAAGGCGACGAUCCUUAGCUGGUCUGAGAGGAUGAUCAGCCACACUGGGACUGAGACGCGGCCCAGACUCCUACGGGAGGCAGCAGUGGGGAAUAUUGGACAAUGGGCGAAAGCCUGAUCCAGCAAUGCCGCGUGAGUGAUGGAGACCUUAGGGUUGUAAAGCUCUUUUACCCGGGAUGAUAAUGACAGUACCGGGAGAAUAAGCUCCGGCUAACUCCGUGCCAGCCGCCGCAGUAA